RNAcentral lists this ribosomal RNA (253 nucleotides) under uncultured bacterium. RNAcentral's name for it is "partial 16S ribosomal RNA". It matches the Rfam family "Bacterial small subunit ribosomal RNA", at positions 524 to 776 of the family's 1533-position model. The record is from RNAcentral.
UACGGAGGGGGCGAGCGUUAUUCGGAAUUACUGGGCGUAAAGGGCGCGUAGGCGGCGCGGUAAGUCACUUGUGAAAUCUCCGGGCUUAACUCGGAACGGUCAAGUGAAACUGCCAUGCUAGAGUGCAGAAGGGGCAAUCGGAAUUCUUGGUGUAGCGGUGAAAUGCGUAGAUAUCAAGAGGAACACCUGAGGUGAAGACGGGUUGCUGGGCUGACACUGACGCUGAGGCGCGAAAGCCAGGGGAGCAAACGGG